RNAcentral lists this transfer RNA (73 nucleotides) under Anaerolineales bacterium. Its description in RNAcentral is "tRNA-Ala". It matches the Rfam family "tRNA". From Rfam's summary of the family: Transfer RNA (tRNA) molecules are approximately 80 nucleotides in length. The record is from RNAcentral. Lineage: Bacteria; Bacillati; Chloroflexota; Anaerolineae; Anaerolineales.
GGGGAUGUAGCUCAGUUGGGAGAGCGCUGCCUUUGCAAGGCAGAGGUCACGGGUUCGAAUCCCGUCAUCUCCA